RNAcentral lists this ribosomal RNA (539 nucleotides) under uncultured bacterium. Its description in RNAcentral is "bacterial SSU rRNA". It matches the Rfam family "Bacterial small subunit ribosomal RNA", at positions 358 to 888 of the family's 1533-position model. The record is from RNAcentral.
AGAAUUUUGCGCAAUGGGGGAGACCCUGACGCAGCAACGCCGCGUGGGUGAAGAAGGCCUUCGGNUCGUAAAGCCCUGUCAGGUGGGAAGAAGGACUUGAGGGCGAACAGCCCUUGAGGGUGACGGUACCACCAGAGGAAGCACCGGCUAACUCCGUGCCAGCAGCCGCGGUAAUACGGAGGGUGCGAGCGUUAUUCGGAAUUACUGGGCGUAAAGCGCGUGUAGGCGGCCCAAGCAGUCUGAUGUGAAAGCCCCGGGCUUAACCUGGGAAGGGCAUUGGAUACUUUUGGGCUUGAGUACUGGAGAGGAAGGGGGAAUUCCCGGUGUAGAGGUGAAAUUCGUAGAGAUCGGGAGGAAUACCAGUGGCGAAGGCGCCCUUCUGGACGGUUACUGACGCUGAGACGCGAAAGCGUGGGGAGCAAACAGGAUUAGAUACCCUGGUAGUCCACGCUGUAAACGAUGAGCACUAGGUGUAGCGGGUACUCAUUCCUGCUGUGCCGUAGCUAACGCGUUAAGUGCUCCGCCUGGGAUUACGGUCG